GGCGAACGCUGGCGGCGUGCCUAAUACAUGCAAGUAGAACGCUGAAGGAGGAGCUUGCUUCUAUGGAUGAGUUGCGAACGGGUGAGUAACGCGUAGGUAACCUGCCUGGUAGCGGGGGAUAACUAUUGGAAACGAUAGCUAAUACCGCAUAAUAGUAGAUGUUGCAUGACAUUUGCUUAAAAGGUGCAAUUGCAUCACUACCAGAUGGACCUGCGUUGUAUUAGCUAGUUGGUGGGGUAACGGCUCACCAAGGCGACGAUACAUAGCCGACCUGAGAGGGUGAUCGGCCACACUGGGACUGGGACACGGCCCAGACUCCUACGGGAGGCAGCAGUAGGGAAUCUUCGGCAAUGGACGGAAGUCUGACCGAGCAACGCCGCGUGAGUGAAGAAGGUUUUCGGAUCGUAAAGCUCUGUUGUAAGAGAAGAACGAGUGUGAGAGUGGAAAGUUCACACUGUGACGGUAUCUUACCAGAAAGGGACGGCUAACUACGUG
This 495-nucleotide ribosomal RNA is filed under the name uncultured bacterium. RNAcentral's name for it is "partial 16S ribosomal RNA". It matches the Rfam family "Bacterial small subunit ribosomal RNA", at positions 28 to 507 of the family's 1533-position model. The record is from RNAcentral.